RNAcentral lists this ribosomal RNA (600 nucleotides) under Microcystis aeruginosa LEGE 05195. RNAcentral's name for it is "bacterial SSU rRNA". It matches the Rfam family "Bacterial small subunit ribosomal RNA", at positions 98 to 732 of the family's 1533-position model. Lineage: Bacteria; Bacillati; Cyanobacteriota; Cyanophyceae; Chroococcales; Microcystaceae. The record is from RNAcentral.
UCGGACGGGUGAGUAACGCGUGAGAAUCUAACUUCAGGACGGGGACAACAGUUGGAAACGACUGCUAAUACCCGAUGUGCCGCAAGGUGAAACCUAAUUGGCCUGAAGAAGAGCUUGCGUCUGAUUAGCUAGUUGGUGGGGUAAGAGCCUACCAAGGCGACGAUCAGUAGCUGGUCUGAGAGGAUGAGCAGCCACACUGGGACUGAGACACGGCCCAGACUCCUACGGGAGGCAGCAGUGGGGAAUUUUCCGCAAUGGGCGAAAGCCUGACGGAGCAACGCCGCGUGAGGGAGGAAGGUCUUUGGAUUGUAAACCUCUUUUCUCAAGGAAGAAGUUCUGACGGUACUUGAGGAAUCAGCCUCGGCUAACUCCGUGCCAGCAGCCGCGGUAAUACGGGGGAGGCAAGCGUUAUCCGGAAUUAUUGGGCGUAAAGCGUCCGCAGGUGGUCAGCCAAGUCUGCUGUCAAAUCAGGUUGCUUAACGACCUAAAGGCGGUGGAAACUGGCAGACUAGAGAGCAGUAGGGGUAGCAGGAAUUCCCAGUGUAGCGGUGAAAUGCGUAGAGAUUGGGAAGAACAUCGGUGGCGAAAGCGUGCUACUGG